This is a long non-coding RNA of Stegostoma tigrinum, 219 nucleotides long. RefSeq lists it as uncharacterized. The transcript is spliced from 3 exons. Lineage: Eukaryota; Metazoa; Chordata; Chondrichthyes; Orectolobiformes; Stegostomatidae. The record is from RefSeq and is a predicted model, not a curated record.
GCGUACUGGGAGGGAUGUCCGGAAUGAAAUGGGCCUCUAUGUAAGCCACAAGCGGGCAUUCAACAACUUGAAAACUGGAUUGAAAAUGAGAGACAGAGCGGCCACUCCAGAAACUUUCAAAAUCACGCUGCACCUUCUUGAUCUGCUGCAAUCCACGUGGUGAAGUAGCUCCCAUGUUGCUGUUUGGGAAUUGGAAAGGAACAUUUACUGACAGGCUGC